This 29-nucleotide non-coding RNA is filed under the name Mus musculus (house mouse). The record is from RNAcentral. Lineage: Eukaryota; Metazoa; Chordata; Mammalia; Rodentia; Muridae.
UGGCAAGUGUUGUCUGACUUACUGCUUCA